Molecule: non-coding RNA, 565 nt
Organism: Cajanus cajan (pigeon pea)
Lineage: Eukaryota; Viridiplantae; Streptophyta; Magnoliopsida; Fabales; Fabaceae
Source: RefSeq, a predicted model, not a curated record
GCUGAAUCACUUUCAGGAGUCACUCUCUUCUCUUACUCAUUUUCUUUUUGUGCGGUGCAAAAACCGGUGGAUAUGGGUAUUACAGUUCCUCAAUCUGAUGACGUUGUGCAGAUGGAAGUGAUGUGUCACUCUCUCCUCUCACUUUAUAAUUAUAUGACUCUCUUCUCUCAUUUCCAUUCUCAAGAGUCACUCUCUUCACUUACUCUUCAUUCAUUUCCAGUAAAUCGGUGGACAUGAACUUUACCGUUCUUCGCUGGUGACCUUCUUUAAAAGGGUUUUUCUUUUUGGUGACGUUGUGCAGAUGGAAGGUAGAAAGUAAAGUGAUGUUAUCAUUUCCAUUCUCAAGAGUCACUCUCUUCUCUUACUCUUCAUUCGUUUCCCGUAAACCGGUGGACAUGAAUCGUUCCUCGCUGGUGACCUUCUUUAAAAGGGUUAAGAUAAAAAAUAUUGGAAUUUAUUGAAAAUAAUAAAUCUUAGUGAGUUAUAGGAGUCACUGAAAUUUGUAAUUUUCAAUAAAUUUCAACUAUUAAUAGUCUUAGACAAAAAAUAUGGGAGAUUGCUUGAA